RNAcentral lists this ribosomal RNA (253 nucleotides) under uncultured bacterium. Its description in RNAcentral is "partial 16S ribosomal RNA". It matches the Rfam family "Bacterial small subunit ribosomal RNA", at positions 524 to 776 of the family's 1533-position model. The record is from RNAcentral.
UACGUAGGGUACAAGCAUUAAUCGGAUUUAUUGGGCGUAAAGGGCGCGUAGGCGGGGAUUUAAGUCAGGUGUGAAAUCCCGGAGCUCAACUCCGGAACGGCAUUUGAAACUAGAUCUCUAGAGGGUAGGCGGAGAAAACGGAAUUCCACAAGUAGCGGUGAAAUGCGUAGAUAUGUGGAAGAACACCAGUGGCGAAGGCGGUUUUCUAGCUUACACCUGACGCUGAGGCGCGAAAGCAAGGGGAGCAAACAGG